AACGAACGCUGGCGGCAUGCCUAACACAUGCAAGUCGAACGAGACCUUCGGGUCUAGUGGCGCACGGGUGCGUAACGCGUGGGAACCUGCCCUGAGGUUCGGAAUAACUCGCCGAAAGGGGUGCUAAUACCGGAUAAUGUCUUCGGACCAAAGAUUUAUCGCCUUUGGAUGGGCCCGCGUUGGAUUAGCUAGUUGGUAGGGUAAAAGCCUACCAAGGCGACGAUCCAUAGCUGGUCUGAGAGGAUGAUCAGCCACACUGGGACUGAGACACGGCCCAGACUCCUACGGGAGGCAGCAGUGGGGAAUAUUGGACAAUGGGCGAAAGCAUGAUCCAGCAAUGCCGCGUGAGUGAUGAAGGCCUUAGGGUUGUAAAGCUCUUUUACCCGGGAUGAUAAUGACAGUACCGGGAGAAUAAGCUCCGGCUAACUCCGUG
This 433-nucleotide ribosomal RNA is filed under the name uncultured bacterium. RNAcentral's name for it is "partial 16S ribosomal RNA". It matches the Rfam family "Bacterial small subunit ribosomal RNA", at positions 29 to 507 of the family's 1533-position model. The record is from RNAcentral.